Molecule: ribosomal RNA, 389 nt
Filed under: uncultured bacterium
Lineage: Bacteria
Description: bacterial SSU rRNA
Rfam family: Bacterial small subunit ribosomal RNA
Source: RNAcentral
AGUGAACGCUGGCGGCAUGCCUAACACAUGCAAGUCGAACGGUAACAGGCCCGCAAGGGUGCUGACGAGUGGCGGACGGGUGAGGAAUACAUCGGAAUUUGCCCAGUCGUGGGGGAUAACGUAGGGAAACUUACGCUAAUACCGCAUACGACCUAACGGUGAAAGCGGGGGACCGUGCAAGGGCCUCGCGCGGAUGGAUAAGCCGAUGUCGGAUUAGCUAGUUGGCGGGGUAAGAGCCCACCAAGGCGACGAUCCGUAGCUGGUCUGAGAGGAUGAUCAGCCACACUGGGACUGAGACACGGCCCAGACUCCUACGGGAGGCAGCAGUGGGGAAUAUUGGACAAUGGGGGCAACCCUGAUCCAGCAAUGCCGCGUGUGUGAAGAAGGCC